GUUAUGUUCAGAUCCUGUGUUACCGACCAGUCCGAGGAUCUACAGCGGAGCAGAGUCGUCCUUCAAGAAGUGUGUUCCGUCGUCUCCUCUGGGCUCAGUGAAUGAACGUCCGGACAGAGGUUUUCGACGCGCUGACAGUGAUAAUAGCUCCUCCCACUUCUCACAUUCCUCCAACAA
Molecule: long non-coding RNA, 177 nt
Organism: Sphaeramia orbicularis (orbiculate cardinalfish)
Lineage: Eukaryota; Metazoa; Chordata; Actinopteri; Kurtiformes; Apogonidae
Exons: 3
Source: RefSeq, a predicted model, not a curated record